UUUGUGAUGUUGAACAGAAGAAGUACUCCACCAACUCUUUGCAAGAAAAGCUUAUUAUGCUGAUGCUAUUGGUCCUUGCUAUGGAAUUUCCAAAUAUUGUGAUGUUUUUUGGAUAUGUUGCUCAUUUUAGCUUUUUGGAAGAUCAGCAGCAGGAGUUGCCAAUUCACUCAAGGACG
This is a long non-coding RNA of Coffea arabica (coffee), 176 nucleotides long. RefSeq lists it as uncharacterized. Lineage: Eukaryota; Viridiplantae; Streptophyta; Magnoliopsida; Gentianales; Rubiaceae. The record is from RefSeq and is a predicted model, not a curated record.